Molecule: unclassified non-coding RNA, 232 nt
Filed under: soil metagenome
Description: partial internal transcribed spacer 1
Source: RNAcentral
UUGAAUUUUAAUGAAGAGUUUGGUUGUAGCUGGCCCAUUCAUUUGGGCAUGUGCACACCUUCCUCUUUCAUCCCACACACACCUGUGAACCUGUGAGACAGAGAUGGGGAAUUUACUUGCUGCUUUUUGGAAUACAAAGGCAAUAGGUUAUUGGACCCCCCCUCUGUCUACUCAAUUAAUAUAAACUCAAUUUAUUUUAAAACGAAUGUAAUGGAUGUAACUCAUCUCAUAC